CUCUUACCAAAACUUCAUCUGCCCCACUCUUCACUGGUUCCUUCUCUCACCGCCAACCAUUUUCCAUCCUAAAUUUCCCCAACUCUAAAUCUCUGCUUUCAUGUCAAAUAUCCAUAAUAAUUCAACCGUUUUCAUCCUUCGCCUGCCGUUUUUCCCUCAAUCAUGCCAGGAACUAUCAAACUUUCAGGUAAUUCUCUCCCAUUUCUUCUCUUUACUCCAUUACUUUUCCUUCUUCAUGCUUCAUUUCCAUUUCUUUCAGUUCUGGAGUUCAUCGACCUUCCCGAGCUUUUGCCUUCUCCAAUCUCGAUUAAGGUUUCCAUGGGGAAAAGACAUUACGAAACUUCGGAAAAAGGAGAAUUCUCAUUUCCAUUGACAACUCUGCGAGAUGAUGUGGUUCUUAUAGUUCAGGAUGCUGGGGGGAAUGAGAUAUCACGUGCAGGUGUUCAGGCAAAAUCAAUAGUUGAGAAGGGUUACUGGGAUGAUCUUUUUCCUCUUGAAGGAGGAGGCUGUGUGCAUUUGCAAUUCCAGUUUGCUCUUAGUGAAGAUGAUCGCAGUCGAAUUCGAAUGAUGAGAGAAACCGCUUUGAGAAGAAAACACGUUGAGCAUCAAGAUAAAAAUCUCAAAAGCUCUGGAAGCAACCUUGCAUCAUCUUUUUACCUCAACCGUGAGCUCUCUGAUUCGCAAAAGUGUCUUCUUCAAAUUGGGGAUCUAAGUGCUAAAGAAGCAGCUCAGCAAUCUCCAUCAGCAUCAACAGAAAAUAUCCCUGAUGAGAAUCCAGUUACUGAAAAAACAAACAAUGUUCAACUUGAUCAGAAUGACGCAGAUAGAAAUGAGGUUAGUCCAUCAACAAUUUCUCAGUUGCAAGAAGUUGAUGCUAAUAAACCAAAGGUAAAUAACACUGUAUUAGUUGAGAGGAUGGGGACACAGUCACCUCAUGCAAACAAACUUUCACCACCGAUUCGUUUGGAAGAAAACUUAUUCAAUUCUCAAGGCUCAGAGUUAUCUGAUUCUCCAUCAAAAGGUGAAGAGAAGACUGAUGCUACAGAGACCCCAUCACGUAGGAGAGCUCCUGGCAAUGUUAAAAAAGUAAUAAGCGCCUUUGAAAGUAGCCUGACUCAGGAUACAAAACCUCGCAUUAAACCUACCUUAAGAAAUGCUCACCACAGUGUGGAAGAAAAGCAAACAUCUCUGAAAGUUAACCAGUCGAAAAAACCCACCGAGGAUAAUACCAAACCUAUAUUGUCACAAACGCCAAUAGGCCCUCCUUUUGCAGGGGACUUGACCCAUGACUUGGAAAAUAUCAUUAUCAAGCAAAAGGAACAGAAACGUAAAUUCAUUGACACUUCAGAUGGGACUAAAAUAUCUGAGGACCCUAGGCAAUCACUAAAGUUAAAGGGGAAAAAGAAUCAAGUUGGAGGAGAAAAGUUGAGUAAGAAGGAUAAGAUGCAUAAGGAGCGUGAUGAUAUAGAGUCAAAGAAUGAUGAAUCUUAUCAAAAGUUGGUGCCUGAGAAGCCGGACUGUGAUAGAAAUUCAGUAACAGGUGAAUCAGUAUCACGUGUCAAAGACGAGCAAUUUCCCUCCAGAAGGUCUGGUGGCUGGAUAUUUCCAGAUGAAAGAAGACGGCUUUGCGUCACGACAGGUGGUAAUUUGUUGGGAGGAGGGCGCACUAGCUAUACAUUCAACCGUAAAGCGGAAAUGAAGAUUUCCAUGGAAGAGAACAGAGGUAUCUCAGAAACGAAGGCAAAUGGGGGCAAGCGUGAUCAUCAAGAAAUGAUCAAACCAGAGAGUUCAGAUGAUGUAAAACCCUCUGAAGGACCACUUGCCAAUGCCCUAAAGAUUGCAAUAAUGGUUGGGUUCGGGACUCUUGUUCUCUUUACUAGACAAAGGAAAAAGAAGGGGUCAGAGAUUGAACCGUCAACCCCAUAUGGUAAUAGAUGCUUUAUCAACACACACAAACCUUUGUGGUUCUACAUAGUUGUUUCUCAGGUGUGUUGUAUUGCAGCUAUGAGCUGUUGAAGACAAUUUCAUUCUGAUCCAGUCAUUCAUACCCCUUGCGGUCCGGUUGGAUUAGAAGGUCUAAAGUUGCUGUCCAUUAGAGCUAAAAGUUGAUUUUGGUGAUAUAGUCAUUGGAUCUGUUGAUUUUGAAGUUUCUAAGUGGUUUUGGAUCAAACCACUUGUUGGGUAAGUUGUUUGAAGACAUUCAGGUUAAGUUGUGAUUGGAAUUGUGCCCUAAAUUUUGGAUUUAAUUUUGGUUUAUGUUUUUUGAUUUAUUCAGGAUUUAAGGUUUUACGAAGUUAAAUUGCUAGCUAUUUGGAUUUAAUUUCAAGGUAAAUGGUUUACUACUGGUUCGCCCUCGAAUCAGGCACCUUAACUAAGUUGAUGUUAAGAUUGUGUAUACACGUAAAAGCAUGAUAUUAUUAUGGUGGAAUAAUUUGCUAUGAUUUGCUAAUGGAUGGACUCAUGAGGGUGUUCUGGAAACCUAUCAAUUAUGCUACUAAGAUCGUGAUAACAUGUUUAUGGUUUGAUAUGAAAUUUGGAUGUCAUAUGUUGCAUGUUGGACCAAUGGUGACUGUCAGUAAUCCUAUCGAGCGGUAUAUAUCUUAUUUUUUUCUUAUGUUUGUGAACCCUCAGGUUCACCAUUUAUGACCGAUUCAGUGUCCCUCAGGGAUCACAACUAUUGUUGUGAUACGUGUUCCUUCAAGUUCACUAGACUGCCAUGAUAUGUGUUCCUUUGAGUUUACUAGACUACCAUGAUUUAUGUUCCUUCGAGAUCACUAGACUGCCAUGAUUUGUGUUCCUACGGUAUCACCAUGACUGCCAUGAUUUGUGUUCCUACGGGAUCACCACGACUUCCAUGUUAUAAAAUGUAAACCAAUGCUUAGAUAGGUAGGCUAACAAAUUCACCUAGUUGACCUAGUAGUGGGUCACUUACUGAGUAUUCAUACUCACCAUUUUUUUAUGAUAUAUUUUUUAGGUAAGGGCGAGAACAGAUCGACGAAUGAUAAGAAGAAUCCGUAACCGUACGAUUGGGACCAGAUAGAAGCUUCUACUCAUGUUUUCAUAUUUUUCAUGUUUGAAACGAGUUUUGGUGUUUAAAAUUGUAGAACUUUUUAUGUUAAAAUUUCAAGUUCUUCCAUGUUUUCCAGUUUUAAAUUUAUGUUUUUAGGGAGACCCCGAACAAAUGUUUUGAGUUGUCUUAGUGGAAUUUUAUUAAUUUUAAUUAAUAAAUACACACUUCCCGUUGAACCAAAAAAGAAAAUAAGAAAAGAGAAGGAAGUUAAGGUUCAACUUUCUUUGGAUUGUCCAAAUAUUAAGUACCCUCUCCUUGGGGUACCUACGAUAUAAUUUAAAGCGAUGAUCCAAUACUCCUUGGAGCAUGAGGUUCCAGGUGCUAUAUUCAAGGAAAUGGUGAACCGGAUUACCGAUAAGAAUAUGGACAACGAGGUUCGAGAAAAUGCAUUUUAGCCAUUAUCCAAAUCCUUUUUUUAGGAGUUGACUAAACCAAGUUCAUGGGUUGAGUGUGAUACUCUAAAUAUCCUAUUUGAGUUCAUGAAAGAUAAAUUCUAUAGGCAACCAGACAUGUGUAUUGACGCGUCUUACCCUCUUACCAAUUGGAAUAAUGAAUCACCUAAAUUCUCGAUAUGGGGUCUACAAACAUAUUAAGAACAAGUCGACUUUGGAUGUUGUCGUACCAUGGGGGGAUGAGACGUUACCGGAUUAUGUCAUGGGUAAAUUCGAUGUCAAGUGGUCAGAUGUGGACUUCGUAUAUACGGCAACAAACAUCGAUCAGCAUUGGAUAUUGAUAGCAUUCGAUCUAAUUAGAGGUCGGUUAUUCAUAUUUGAUUCACUACUGUUCAUGACAUCAAAGAAGAAGCUAGAGUUUUUCCUUGAACCCGACCCACCUAUAUGAAUACACAACAGGGGUCGUUAGAUUGUGGAAUAUUUUUUUUGUAAAAUUCUUAGAACAUUUAGUGACUGGUAAUGCCCCUACAAUAACUCAGGAUAAGAUGACUUGACUAUACGACGCAAUUGGCAUGUCAAUUGUGGAUGAACAUUCCAUAUUAUUGACGUACUUGUAUAUUAUGUAUAUUAUGUAUAUUAUUGAUGUAAUUUUACUAGUAUGUUAUUUAAA
Non-coding RNA from Benincasa hispida (wax gourd), 4132 nucleotides. The record is from RefSeq and is a predicted model, not a curated record. Lineage: Eukaryota; Viridiplantae; Streptophyta; Magnoliopsida; Cucurbitales; Cucurbitaceae.